AAACGACUCUCGGCAACGGAUAUCUCGGCUCACGCAUCGAUGAAGAACGUAGCAAAAUGCGAUACUUGGUGUGAAUUGCAGAAUCCCGUGAACCAUCGAGUUUUUGAACGCAAGUUGCGCCCGAAGCCAUCCGGUUGAGGGCACGCCUGCCUGGGCGUCAUG
This 162-nucleotide ribosomal RNA is filed under the name Taraxacum sherriffii. RNAcentral's name for it is "5.8S ribosomal RNA". It matches the Rfam family "5.8S ribosomal RNA". Rfam says of the family: 5.8S ribosomal RNA (5.8S rRNA) is a component of the large subunit of the eukaryotic ribosome. It is transcribed by RNA polymerase I as part of the 45S precursor that also contains 18S and 28S rRNA. The record is from RNAcentral. Lineage: Eukaryota; Viridiplantae; Streptophyta; Magnoliopsida; Asterales; Asteraceae.